UAGUGGCGAACGGGUGAGUAACACGUGGGCAAUCUGCCCUUCACUCUGGGACAAGCCCUGGAAACGGGGUCUAAUACCGGAUAUCACUCCUGCAGGCAUCUGUGGGAGUCGAAAGCUCCGGCGGUGAAGGAUGAGCCCGCGGCCUAUCAGCUUGUUGGUGAGGUAGUGGCUCACCAAGGCGACGACGGGUAGCCGGCCUGAGAGGGCGACCGGCCACACUGGGACUGAGACACGGCCCAGACUCCUACGGGAGGCAGCAGUGGGGAAUAUUGCACAAUGGGCGAAAGCCUGAUGCAGCGACGCCGCGUGAGGGAUGACGGCCUUCGGGUUGUAAACCUCUUUCAGCAGGGAAGAAGCGAAAGUGACGGUACCUGCAGAAGAAGCGCCGGCUAACUACGUGCCAGCAGCCGCGGUAAUACGUAGGGCGCAAGCGUUGUCCGGAAUUAUUGGGCGUAAAGAGCUCGUAGGCGGCUUGUCACGUCGGGUGUGAAAGCCCGGGGCUUAACCCCGGGUCUGCAUUCGAUACGGGCUAGCUAGAGUGUGGUAGGGGNAGAUCGGAAUUCCU
This 565-nucleotide ribosomal RNA is filed under the name Streptomyces sp. 387H09. RNAcentral's name for it is "bacterial SSU rRNA". It matches the Rfam family "Bacterial small subunit ribosomal RNA", at positions 93 to 671 of the family's 1533-position model. Lineage: Bacteria; Bacillati; Actinomycetota; Actinomycetes; Kitasatosporales; Streptomycetaceae. The record is from RNAcentral.